Molecule: non-coding RNA, 1850 nt
Organism: Delphinapterus leucas (beluga whale)
Lineage: Eukaryota; Metazoa; Chordata; Mammalia; Artiodactyla; Monodontidae
Source: RefSeq, a predicted model, not a curated record
AUGGUCCCUUUAACUAUAGAAAUUGUCAUCCUGACAAUCAAGACUCACAUUCACGCAGCACUCUUCUGGGGUGGGCAGGAGGAGGGGGACUUAAAGACAAGGGCCAGACGCGCUUACACCCGGCUCGAGACGGCGGCGGCAGCGGCGGGGGACUCCGACUCCUGGGACGCGGACAGGUUCUCCGUGGAAGACCCGGUGCGGAAGGUGGGGGGCGGCGGCACCGCCGGCAGGGACCGCUGGGAAGGUGACGACGAGGACGUCAAGGAUAACUGGGAUGAUGAUGAUGACGAAAAAAAAGCAGCAGCAGAAGUAAAACCAGAAGUAAAAAUUUCAGAAAGGAAAAAAACAGCAGAGAAGAUAAAAGAGAAAGGACGGCAGCAGAAGAAAAGGCAAGAAGAAAUUAAAAGGAGGUUAGAAGAACCUGAAGAACCUAAAGUGCUAACACCAGACAGAUAAACCGCGGCUAAAGAAAUUACAGGAAGAGUCAGACCUCGAAUUAGCGAAAGAAACUUUUGGUGUUAAUAAUACAGUUUAUGGAAGAGAUGCUAUGAACCCAUCUUCAAGGGAUGCCUUCACAGAGUUUGGAAAGUUACUAAAAAAAUUACACAAUAUGAAAAAUCACUAUAUUAUACCAGUGUUUUGGAAGCCUUAGUUCGAGAUGUGUGUAUUUCACUGGAAAUUGAUGACUUGAAAAAGAUUACCGGUUCGUUGACUGUACUUUGCAGUGAAAAACCGAAGCAAGAAAAGCAAAGCAAAGCCAAAAGGAAGAAGAAAGGCGUGGUUCCCGGAGGGGGAUUAAAGGCUACCAUGAAAGAUCAUCUGGCAGAUCAUGGUGGUUAUGAUGGAGGGUAUGUUCAAGAUUUUGAAGACUUCACGUGACGUUUUAUCUUCUCCUGGUGUCUUCUUUCUGUUGCCCACAAUCCCUUCAACAUGCAGCACAACUUCCUUUCCUUUCAGUUCUGCCAAAUGCUACAAUCAGAAGUGCAGUAUCUUUUGUGCUGGUUAUUAACCCCUUGACACUUAGGUGCUAAUGUGCAGAUGAGGGAACUUGGAUCUUGCUGCCAAGGGGUUAAAAUUGGGAACCUCCAUUGCUACUAAAUCAUAGUUUAAAAAAACAGACCAAAUAAUGUUGUUGUUGUUGCUAUCUGAUUCCGUAGCAGCAGUCACUAAAUUGGAAACAAAGGUUGCAACACGACAAAAAAUUGUGUAGUAUUUACCAGCACCAUUCAGAAAUACAGCCUUAAGCAUACCUCCUUGAACUACUUCGUAACUUGUCAAGAAAAGCAGUCUGCUGCAAGGGCGUGUGGUGUGCACCUAGUAUUGAAGUUGCUUUGUCUUAAAAUUGAGCGUGAGGAUAUUAAAAAUACAUUGUGAAGAAGACUGCUUAUCUCAGAGUGAAGAUACGGCGGCUGAAAAGCACUAGUUUGAUACUUAAAAAUUAAAUGACCAAAACCCUCCAACUUGGAAGCUGAAGAAGGUAAACCUCUCCAUUAUUGCAUUACCAAGUUGUGGAAUCUCUUGAGUGCAUAGGCUGUCUAGUUUCUAUUUAUCAGACUAUUCUACUGAUGGAGUGCUUCAGAUGGGGGAGGGAAACUCCUUACCUAUUUUAUUUGUCUGAUUUAAGUGUCUGAGAAACAAAUCUCCUUUGUUCUCUGAGGCUGCAGUGGAUCAGCUUUAACAGGGUUUUGGCAUUUCCUUUAUAAAACUUUGUUUUGUUCAGCAAACUGCGCCAUUUAACUACAGUUUGGUAAAUUGUUAUGUUAACAAUUAUGACAUCUGCAAUGUUUUAUAAAGCAACUAAUUUAAUAAAGUCACUAUUGUGAGGAAAAAAAUAAAAUAAAAUAAAGACA